AGUCAAUUUACCUGGUAAAAUAAUGGAUUAAAAAAAUUAGGGAGAGGCAUGUGUAGCCGAGUGAUCAUAGGGUCCAAUGAGUAGCACUAGGUGAGUCUAGUGCCUCCCCCAAGAUCAAACUGACAUAAAAAAUCUAAUGAAACGCAACCUACCGUGAUCAGAAAUCUCAACUAGCAAGCAAGUCUGGCAGGGGGAGAUUUUCUGCAUAACACUGUUAUCAUUGCUGUCAACUGGAAUGAAUCCUUACCCAGAUCUUACUGUUGUUUUCAUUUGGCAGACUAAGCACUUCUCAUGAGCAUCUGUAUUUUUCCUAAUUCCCGUUCAAGAUACACCUGCCUUGUGUGUUCAUACCGCCUUGUUUUUGAUACAGUUCACAUGCUGACAUUACACAGAAAGGGGAAAAGACCUUUUCUGUGUAAUGUCAGCAUAUGAAUUAUGAAUGAUUUUCCCAAGCAGGAAGCCAUAUCAAAACCAUCUAUGAAAGCUGAAUGUGCCUACACUAAUCCUUUCUGUGCCAGGGAUGAAGUGGUUUUAUGGAAAGAAAACUCAACUGAAAAAUGAGAUAUCUUAACGAAACCAUGAAAACUAUGUUCAAGCUGAAGAUAGCCGACAGGAACCCUCUAGUUCUGCCCCCCUGUUGACACAGACACGUAAACUCACCCACCACGCCUUAUGAAGACUGUGCUAUACAACAUUUGGCACAAAAAGACCAGGUACUCUAUGCUGAAAGUGAUAUGUUAUUACUGUCACAUCAGCCCCUCCAGCACAAGACUAUCAUCACCACAUCAAACGUCAAUGGACAAUGAUAAGACAUAAUGUCAUUACCCAGUUCCAACAGUAAUACACCAGUCAAUCAGGGAUCGUGUCUAUUUGGGAGAAAUAAGGAAGUGUGUUAGAAGGAGUCAGCCAACGGCGACACAGGAGUCGGAACCUAUGACAGCUCAAAGGAGGAGCAUUACCUUACAUUGAAAAGUGCGGGACGACUGCAGGACAGGAGUGACCCGUGGGUAAAGGAUGAGAAUGUGGAAUUUGAUUCAGAUGAAGAGGAACCCUCAUCCCUCCCAUCCUCCCACUGACUCAGAGGGCUGACCAGAUGAGCAGCAGGGACCAGACCUCAACACCAGCACCUUCCCAAAAUCCCUAGCCCUUUCCUCAAACCCUGCUGCUGACACAAAAGUCCCAUUUGGACAUACAUCUAUUGACUCAACAAUUAUGAAUGGCACUCUGUUGCAGUACUGACAACACUAUAAGAGCAGCACUAGAACAUCUUGAACUGCCUCCAUGCUUCCUUUGUUUACUCUAUCUCAGGGUAGACACAUUGGUGCUUGAGACAAUGCUUUGACGGUUGUCACCCUGCGAGGGGUGGGAAGGGGGACGAUUCUCAGCACCCUUUGUGUUAUUCCGUUCGCCCAUUUUAUUUAGGUCCAACACCUCCCCUGUUAAGGCUAAGCUGUGAGAUUACCAUAAAUCAUCAGCAGAUAGGACAAUAUUACUGCUAAUCUUGGUAGUGUAACCACUGGUUAACAUUCUUCAGAAGGUUCUCAUUUGUGGCUCACCCCUAGACCACUCUAUAUAUUGGAUAACCCCCCCCCCCCCCCUAGAGAAAGCGAGCGUGCGGACGUAACGUGGGUUAGUUUAAAACGAUGACGUUAAAAUGUGAAACUGAGUACCUGAUUAUUAUUUGUGAGCUCAUUGCGUGACUGCCACAAGGCGUUUGGAAUGUUUGUUGACUGCAUCGACACAGGAGCUCAACUGUCUUGUGUGUCAUCAAGGCUGAUGAUGUUAUGGAGUUAAAUUGUCAAUGCAGUAAGUCAUGUUGACUCUAUCAUGUUACUUGUACUUUCAGAUGACUAAACAAAACAAUUGUCCUCCACUGCUAACAAUGUCUGUUUGAAUAACCCAGAUAUAAGGGAGAAAAAUAAAGCACCACUUAAC
Molecule: long non-coding RNA, 1935 nt
Organism: Oncorhynchus gorbuscha (pink salmon)
Lineage: Eukaryota; Metazoa; Chordata; Actinopteri; Salmoniformes; Salmonidae
Exons: 5
Source: RefSeq, a predicted model, not a curated record